RNAcentral lists this long non-coding RNA (309 nucleotides) under Pan troglodytes (chimpanzee). RNAcentral describes it as "long non-coding RNA NONPTRT001989". The record is from RNAcentral. Lineage: Eukaryota; Metazoa; Chordata; Mammalia; Primates; Hominidae.
GAGUCCUCUCCCCUGAGUCCAUUGUCACAUCCCCUGAGUCCUCUCCCCUGAGUCCUCUCCCCUGAGUCCUCUCCCCUGAGCCCAUUGUCACAUCCCCUGACUCCUCUCCCCUGAGUCCUCUCCCCUGAGUCCAUUGUCAUAUCCCCUGAGCCCUCUCCCCUGAGCCCAUUGUCACAUCCCCUGAGCCCUCUCCCCUGAGUCCUCUCCCCUGAGCCCUCUCCCCUGAGCCCUCUCCCUGAGUCCAUUGUCACAUCCUCUGAGCCCUCUCCUCUGAGCCCUCUCCGCUGAGCCCUCUCCCCUGAGUCCUCU